RNAcentral lists this ribosomal RNA (531 nucleotides) under Triticum aestivum (bread wheat). RNAcentral describes it as "partial small subunit ribosomal RNA". The record is from RNAcentral. Lineage: Eukaryota; Viridiplantae; Streptophyta; Magnoliopsida; Poales; Poaceae.
AUGGUACCUUUGCAAAGGACGCCGGGUUGUUGGGUGGAGGAAUUACCCUCAGUGUUAUGGAGUAUCAAUACUACCCCCAAUAGAUCUACGGGUUACAUGCCUUUCUUUCUGGUUUACGGAGCAGAGGAGGUUCUCCCUAGUGACAUCUGUCGUGAUUUGCCCCCUGUGCCAGCUUAUGUUGAAGCUGAUAAUGAAAAAGCACGUCAGGAUGCUCUUGACCUGUUGGAUGAGGAGCGCGACCGUGCGGCAGCUCGUUCGGCGAUUUACCAACAAGAUAUGCGUCGUUAUCACAAUCGUCGGCUUAAAACCAGGACCUUUCAAGAAGGAGAUUUGGUGCUCCGGCUCAUCCCGGAUCAAACUGACAUGCACAAGCUAUCCCUACCUUGGGAAGGGCCCUUUGUGGUCAGCAAAAAUCUGAACAACGGGUCAUACUACCUUAUCGAUGUUCAAGACCACAAGGACUCAUGCACGUCGAAGGAGGAGACCCGCCGGCCAUGGAAUAAUGCUCAUCUUCAGCCUUAUUACACCUGA